CGCGUGGGCGGGCGCCGCGCUGGCCCUGCUGGCGCUGCUGGCCGCCGUCCUCGCCGCACUGUACCUGCUACAUCGCCGCAGACACGGAGCGUUCGUGCACGCGCGUCUGUCUGACAACGUGGAGAUUAACAACCCUAUGUACCUGGCCGGCGAGGAUGAACUCGAACAGCCACAUCCUGCGCACGCGCACAACAACGGCGGCAACCACUUCGCCAACCCGGUGUACGAGAGCAUGUACGCCCCGCAGAGCGCGCCGCCGGAGGUAAGCCCCGCACACGCGCGCAUGCUGCCGCGCACACACGCGCCCUGAGACCGCGGGGUCACGGCCACGCCGCCAAGCGUAGACGUUAACACUUCAUGUGUAUAUAGUUAACUACAAAAAAAAACUGUACUUGAUUGACGCGGCCACUAGCGUAACUAAAUCAUUAAAAAAAUUCGUCAAGUGCGAGUCAGACUUGCGUCAAUAGAGGUUCUGUAUAAAUACGAAAUGAGCAUCCAUAAAGUAUAUUAACCAACCUCGUCUUAAAUUUUUAUAAAAAAGUGAAUCAUUUCGUAAUCUAUUUAAGAAACGUUUUUACCUUUAGGGUACGGAACCCUAAAAACUUGUCUUACGCGCUUAACUACUUAAUUAGUCAAAUAUUUAUCCGUUUUGACCCAUUUGGUACGGAACCCUAAAAACUACACUUGACGUACGCGCUUAGCUACUAGCUACUUAGUAAAAUACCUUAAAGCUACAAAAAAGUCUACAAUUCUAAUGAAUCUUAUCUAUUCAACAUAUUUUGAAUUUAUGCAAAAAUAAAUAACUAUAAAAACAUAAUUGGAUUGUCGACCUCAGUGAACUAACGAACGUGUAUGUGUGUGUGUAGGUCGUUCAUGUAAUUGUGUGACGGAAGGUCGUCGGUGCGGUUUUCAUAAUUCGUAGUCAUCAUUAUGUUCAUAAAAACCAAAUGUUAUACCUAUUCAAUAUCGACCGCUGUUAAGUAACACUUGACGCAUAAAUCUUAAAUGAUGAUGAUAUUAACGACUUUUUUCCUUGUGCGCUGUCGCUAAGUUAGACGAUGGAGUUUUGACACGGAACUAUAAGUUAUUCUUACAAAUAUGGUACAUAUUUUAUUUAUAUACAUAUAGUAUGUUUAUUUUUCGCUUUAACAAUUUCGGAAAGGAAAACCCGUUCUCGUAAUCGUGAUUGACUCUAGAACGCGCGUUAAUAAUGCAAUAGUGAAACUGAAGUAUGUAAUAAUAAUAUAAUGACGUCACCCAAGAUGCAAGUACUUACUGGCGAUAAAAUCAAAUUUGCACGGUUUGAUUAAUCAAAAUAUAUUUUCCUUGACAACAAUAGAAUCAAAUAAUCUCCAUAAUUAAUUUGAAAUCUGUAACUAAUCUGACGUAGGGACGUUAGGUAGGUGUAGGGAUACAAGGCGCGUGUGUCGCGCGGCGUGACGAGUGUGUGUUGUCCAGGAGCACGCGAGCCUGCUGGCCGAGCGCCGAGCCUCGCCCACCGCCGAGCGGGCCGCGCUGCUGUGAGGAACUGUGACCACUUACAUAUCGAACAUACAUCAUAAUAACUCAUAAACUCCUAUAACCAAGUCCUUGACAACCUCAGUAGUAGUCUAGGUUAUGCCGCGGUCGAGAGCCCGCGCCUCUCAAGCCCCAACAAUGUCAUUUGGAGGAGAACUUACCUCUUAAAAGUCAAGUGUUAUUUACGUCUGUUUUAAUUAUCUAUUAAAUAACAAUAAAAUGGAAACAGAGUAGCGCGCUCUAGUCCGCGGCAUGCAUCUCAAUAAUACCUUAAUGUACAAUCGAGCUUGUAUGAAUCUCAGUGAAAUUGUAGUACAUAUUUCGUAAUUGUUGUAAGUAGGUGGCGCAAAGGACGUCAUAUCCGCGGUGUCCUUUACUAACCUUUGUACUCUUGCCGUUUAGAUAACGAACACUUUCAGAACGAAUAUUUUAUAAUAAUAAGAUCUACACCACAUAAUCUUUAGAGAUUAGUAAGUUAGUCUCAUUGUAUUGUGCCAUAUUGUGGUAGUGAUAGCAAAAUAACCAGCAAUAUAUGUCCCGGCUAUCCUAGAUUAGAUCAUGACUGUCUUUGUUGUCAGAUCAUAAAUCCUUAUUUUUUAUUAUUCGGUCACUUUGUACAGAUCUCGUUAUUUAUUUUGAACGAAUGGGUGAUUCUCCAGAAAAGAAAUAACAUAUGCUCACCAAAUUGUAACAUACCGUAGUGAUAAUAAGUCAUAAUUAUGAUCUUUCUUAAAAAAAUACAUUAAAUUAUACAAACUGAAGUUAAAAAUAUAUGGUGAAAAGUAAUGAAGUCCUCAACUUGUUAUUAUUUUCCGGAGAAUCUCUAAAUAUACAGCUAAAUACAUCGGGCCAGUUUAUUUAGUACAAGACAACUUUUUUAGCAGAAUAAUUUGUACAAAUGUCGGCAGCUUUCUGACCUUGCGUUGUGUAACUAAUGUGAUUGUUUUGUAUUUAAUUUUUAUUAUUCUUAAGUAUAUUAGAUGUAAGUAAACAACGAGGGUCUCGUGUGUUCAGAGCACACAUCCAAGGCAGCUAGGAGCUCUUAAACUCUAUGAAUUCUCAUGAACAACAUGUGCUUAAGAUAGCUGUAAGUAUGCUUCUACACGCAAUAUCUAUGGAACUUGUGCCAAAUUGUUGUGAUCUAUUAAAUACCUAAUUAAUUAAGUAAUCAUUUGUCGAGCUCAAAUUAUAAUUUAUUUAAUUGAUUCCUAAAAAUCUCAAUAUACACAGUUAAUACAAUUGAUUAUAUUAUGCUCAAUCUGAAAUCACUCAAUGUGUAAUUUAUUAUAAAUGUUUUUGGGUUAUCGUCCCUAUGUAUUAUUAAUGUUGAGAUUAUGUUAAGUACAAUGUUUACAUAUCUUAUACGCAAUAUUUACUUUUGCAAAUAUAUUUGUACAAAGCAUCACAUGUUUCGACUCCAAUUUAAUUAAGAAUAGUCUGAAUAAUUAUAUUAAGUAGAAU
Long non-coding RNA from Trichoplusia ni (cabbage looper), 2979 nucleotides. RefSeq lists it as uncharacterized. NCBI's taxonomy places the organism in Eukaryota, Metazoa, Arthropoda, Insecta, Lepidoptera, Noctuidae. The transcript has 3 exons. The record is from RefSeq and is a predicted model, not a curated record.